GAUGAACGCUGGCGGCGUGCCUAAUACAUGCAAGUCGAGCGAACGGACGAGAAGCUUGCUUCUCUGUUGUUAGCGGCGGACGGGUGAGUAACACGUGGAUACCCUACCUAUCAGACUGGGAUAACCUCGGGACACCGGCGAUAAUACCGGAUAAUAUUUUGAUCCGCAUGGUUCAAAAGUAAAAUACGGUCUUGCUGUAUCUUAUCGCUGGAUCUGCGCUGCAUUAGCUAGUUGGUAAGGUAAAGGCUUACCAAGGCAACGAUGCAUAGCCGACCUGAUAGGGUGAUCGGCCACACUGGAACUGGAACGCGGUCCAGACUCCUACGAGAGGCAGCAGUAGGGAAUCUUCCGCAAUGGGCGAAAGCCUGACGGAGCAACGCCGCGUGAGUGAUAAAAGCCUUCGGAUCGUAAUACUCUGUUAUUAGGGAAGAACAUAUUUGUAAGUAACUGUGCACAUCUUGACGGUACCGAGUCAGAAAGCCACGGCUAACUACGUG
Molecule: ribosomal RNA, 497 nt
Filed under: uncultured bacterium
Lineage: Bacteria
Description: partial 16S ribosomal RNA
Rfam family: Bacterial small subunit ribosomal RNA
Source: RNAcentral